RNAcentral lists this non-coding RNA (93 nucleotides) under uncultured Treponema sp. Its description in RNAcentral is "TPP riboswitch (THI element)". The stretch from base 4 to 82 matches the Rfam family "TPP riboswitch aptamer (THI element)", at positions 11 to 88 of the family's 105-position model. Rfam says of the family: Vitamin B(1) in its active form thiamin pyrophosphate (TPP) is an essential coenzyme that is synthesised by coupling of pyrimidine and thiazole moieties in bacteria. The record is from RNAcentral. Lineage: Bacteria; Pseudomonadati; Spirochaetota; Spirochaetia; Treponematales; Treponemataceae.
CGCAGGGGAGCUGGUAAUCCCGGCUGAGAGGAAGUUAGAACUUCGACCCUUAAACCUGAUUCGGAUAAUGCCGACGUAGGAAAAUUAAUUACU